GACGAACGCUGGCGGCGUGCCUAAUACAUGCAAGUCGAGCGAGACUCUUCGGAGUCUAGCGGCGGACGGGUGAGUAACACGUGGGCAACCUGCCUGUAAGACUGGGAUAACACCGGGAAACCGGUGCUAAUACCGGAUAAUCCUUUUCCUCUCAUGAGGAAAAACUGAAAGUCGGUUUCGGCUGACACUUACAGAUGGGCCCGCGGCGCAUUAGCUAGUUGGUGAGGUAACGGCUCACCAAGGCGACGAUGCGUAGCCGACCUGAGAGGGUGAUCGGCCACACUGGGACUGAGACACGGCCCAGACUCCUACGGGAGGCAGCAGUAGGGAAUCUUCCACAAUGGACGAAAGUCUGAUGGAGCAACGCCGCGUGAGCGAUGAAGGCCUUCGGGUCGUAAAGCUCUGUUGUUAGGGAAGAACAAGUACCGGAGUAACUGCCGGUACCUUGACGGUACCUAACCAGAAAACCACGGCUAACUACGUGCCAGCCGCCGCAGUAA
This 500-nucleotide ribosomal RNA is filed under the name uncultured bacterium. RNAcentral's name for it is "partial 16S ribosomal RNA". It matches the Rfam family "Bacterial small subunit ribosomal RNA", at positions 28 to 523 of the family's 1533-position model. The record is from RNAcentral.